CAGCAGCCGCGGUAAAACGUAGGGUGCAAGCGUUAAUCGGAAUUACUGGGCGUAAAGCGUGCGCAGGCGGUUCGUUAAGACAGAUGUGAAAUCCCCGGGCUUAACCUGGGAACUGCAUUUGUGACUGGCGAGCUAGAGUAUGGCAGAGGGGGGUAGAAUUCCACGUGUAGCAGUGAAAUGCGUAGAGAUGUGGAGGAAUACCGAUGGCGAAGGCAGCCCCCUGGGCCAAUACUGACGCUCAUGCACGAAAGCGUGGGGAGCAUACAGGAUUAGAUACCCCUGUAGUCCCUGUCUCUUAUAC
This 301-nucleotide ribosomal RNA is filed under the name uncultured bacterium. Its description in RNAcentral is "partial 16S ribosomal RNA". It matches the Rfam family "Bacterial small subunit ribosomal RNA", at positions 509 to 807 of the family's 1533-position model. The record is from RNAcentral.